This is a long non-coding RNA of Hyla sarda, 1679 nucleotides long. RefSeq lists it as uncharacterized. The record is from RefSeq and is a predicted model, not a curated record. The transcript is spliced from 2 exons. Lineage: Eukaryota; Metazoa; Chordata; Amphibia; Anura; Hylidae.
CUGAUAAAUAAUCAUGGAUUUAUUGAAUCAGUAAUAACUUAAGACUGGUACAAUCAGUUUUGUUCGUAUUGACAGGAGACGCCAUCGAAUCCGACCGCGUGAAAAAUUAAUCACAAAUAAAAAAUAAACCCAGGCAGAAAGGAAAGAUCCUACAGAAAAUACUCGCCCUCCUCCCGCGCCAAUGUAUUUUCUUUUUUCUUUAGUUUUUCUUUUAUUAAUAAAACGACUUAAAAAAAUCUCAUCAAAAUGCAGCAAAUUCCUCGAGUUAUUUACACUUUGUUACAACGUGAACAUUUACAUCUCCAGAGGGAAAACAAAGUAUGGACAGGCGGGUGCGACGCGUUUCACCCACGUCACACGAUAUGGGGGGUUUAUAUUAUUCUGUAUCAUUAUUAUUGUUCCCGUCUCCUUUAUGUCAUUGUUGCAUAGAAUCCGGCGGAGAUCGCGUGAUUGACUCUUGUAAAAGGCGAUUGGAAGUAUCGAUUCCUGCUGUCGUCCAGUCCCGGCGUUUCUUUUAACAAGUCUAUAGAAUACGCCGACAUUCUGGCGCCAAAAUGGCGGAGACGUGGAAUAUAGAAGCUACGUGGUUUACGACGAGAUACAAAAAAAUACAAUAAAAUCCCCGAUAAUUAUACAUUCAGGCAGACCCGCUUCCUGAUGUCAACCAAAGACAAUACAGUGUAACCUAGAAUUUUUCGACGCGUUUCAGGCGACGAAUUGUGACUCUAUAUACAGAAUCCCCCCAAAAAAGCUAUAAAUAUAGAUAUAUAUUUAUUUGUGAAAAUCGCCAGUGAUGCGCAACAUCCAGCCGUAAUUCACAGUUGUGGAUUUCAGUGCCGAACUUCUCUUAAUCUUGCUGAUGCAUUUUGCAGACUUUUGGGCGCAGCCAUAAUUGCCGUGCGCGUUUUGCCUUUUCCGUUCCAUGCAGCGCCAUUGUGAAAUUGCGUUUCCGCUCUAACAUGGAGCAGGACACGUGAGGUAUAGAAGAACUGCCCCCUGCAGCCAGCACCUCUACUGUGUGUGUGUAUAUGUAAUGUGUAAACCUAAUGACCGAGGGGUUUCCCAGGUUGUAUCACCGGAGUAGAUCUAAUGACCGAGGGGUUUCCCAGGUUGUAUCACCGGGAUAGAUCUAAUGACCGAGGGGUUUCCCAGGUUGUAUCACCGGGAUAGAUCUAAUGACCGAGGGGUUUCCCAGGUUGUAGCAGGUUGUAUCACCGGGGUAGAUCUAAUGACCGAGGGGUUUCCCAGGUUGUAGAAGGUUGUAUCACAGGAGUAGAUCUAAUGACCAAGGGGUUUCCCAGGUUGUAGAAGGUUGUAUCACCGGGGUAGAUCUAAUGACCGAGGGGUUUCCCAGGUUGUAUCACAGGAGUAGAUCUAAUGACCAAGGGGUUUCCCAGGUUGUAGAAGGUUGUAUCACCGGGGUAGAUCUAAUGACCGAGGGGUUUCCCCGGUUGUAGCAGGUUGUAUCACAGGAGUAGAUCUAAUGACUGAGGGGUUUCCCAGGUUGUAUCACCGGGGUAGAUCUAAUGACCGAGGGGUUUCCCAGGUUGUAGCAGGUUGUAUCACAGGUGUAAAUCUAAUGACCGAGGGGUUUCCCAGGUUGUAUCACCGGGAUAGAUCUAAUGACCGAGGGGUUUCCCAGGUUGUAGCAGGUUGUAUCACCGGGGUAGAUCUAAUGA